RNAcentral lists this ribosomal RNA (192 nucleotides) under Klebsiella pneumoniae subsp. pneumoniae KPNIH22. RNAcentral describes it as "partial 23S ribosomal RNA". It matches the Rfam family "Bacterial large subunit ribosomal RNA", at positions 1 to 193 of the family's 2925-position model. The record is from RNAcentral. Lineage: Bacteria; Pseudomonadati; Pseudomonadota; Gammaproteobacteria; Enterobacterales; Enterobacteriaceae.
GGUUAAGCGACUAAGCGUACACGGUGGAUGCCCUGGCAGUCAGAGGCGAUGAAGGACGUGCUAAUCUGCGAAAAGCGUCGGUAAGGUGAUAUGAACCGUUACAGCCGGCGAUGUCCGAAUGGGGAAACCCAGUGCAAUUCGUUGCACUAUCGUUAACUGAAUACAUAGGUUAACGAGGCGAACCGGGGGAAC